This is a non-coding RNA of Microcebus murinus (gray mouse lemur), 216 nucleotides long. The record is from RefSeq and is a predicted model, not a curated record. Lineage: Eukaryota; Metazoa; Chordata; Mammalia; Primates; Cheirogaleidae.
CUCGCUGCGGGGACGCGUGGGGCGCGUUUUGAACGGCGAUGCACGUUGCACGCGCCGCCACGGAGGGCGCCAGAGGCGUGUCAGGGCAGGUCACUCACUUUUGGGGAAGCCAACCAUCAUGUCAUGAGGAUACUCAGGUAGCCUGAGCAGAGGUCCAUGUGGCAAGGAACUGAGAUUCAAGUCCAUAGUCAGCAAGUAUUAAAAACCUGCAAGCAA